GACGAACGCUGGCGGCGUGCUUAACACAUGCAAGUCGAACGGAAAGGCCCUGCUUUUGUGGGGUGCUCGAGUGGCGAACGGGUGAGUAACACGUGAGUAACCUGCCCUUGACUUUGGGAUAACUUCAGGAAACUGGGGCUAAUACCGGAUAGGAGCUCCUGCUGCAUGGUGGGGGUUGGAAAGUUUCGGCGGUUGGGGAUGGACUCGCGGCUUAUCAGCUUGUUGGUGGGGUAGUGGCUUACCAAGGCUUUGACGGGCAGCCGGCCUGAGAGGGUGACCGGCCACAUGGGGACUGAGAUACGGCCCGAACUCCUACGGGAGGCAAGAGUGGGGAAUAUUGCACAAGGGGCGGAAGCCUGAUGCAGCAACGCCGCGUGCGGGAUGACGGCCUUCGGGUGGUAAACCGCUUUCGCCUGUGACGAGGCGUGGGUGACGGUAAUGGGAAAAGAAGCACCGGCUAACUACGU
Molecule: ribosomal RNA, 467 nt
Filed under: uncultured bacterium
Lineage: Bacteria
Description: partial 16S ribosomal RNA
Rfam family: Bacterial small subunit ribosomal RNA
Source: RNAcentral